AUACGGAGGAUCCGAGCGUUAUCCGGAUUUAUUGGGUUUAAAGGGUGCGCAGGCGGCCAUUUAAGUCAGCGGUUAAAUCGUGGGGCUCAACCCCAUUCUGCCGUUGAUACUGGGUGGCUUGAUUGCGGUCGAGGUUGGCGGAAUUCGUUGUGUAGCGGUGAAAUGCAUAGAUAUGAUGAAGAACACCGAUUGCGUAGGCAGCUGACCAGAACGUAAAUGUCGCUGAGGCACGAAAGUGCGGGGAUCGAACAGGAUUAGAUACCCUGUUAGUCCGCACAGUAAACGAUGAAUACUUGUUUUCGGCGAUAUAAUGUCGGAGGCAAAGCGAAAGCGAUAAGUAUUCCACCUGGGGAGUACGCCGGCAACGGUGAAACUCAAAUGAAUUGACGGGG
This 392-nucleotide ribosomal RNA is filed under the name uncultured bacterium. RNAcentral describes it as "partial 16S ribosomal RNA". It matches the Rfam family "Bacterial small subunit ribosomal RNA", at positions 523 to 918 of the family's 1533-position model. The record is from RNAcentral.